UGGGGAAUUUUGGACAAUGGGGGAAACCCUGAUCCAGCCAUCCCGCGUGUGCGAUGAAGGCCUUCGGGUUGUAAAGCACUUUUGGCAGGAAAGAAACGUCAUGGGUUAAUACCCCGUGAAACUGACGGUACCUGCAGAAUAAGCACCGGCUAACUACGUGCCAGCAGCCGCGGUAAUACGUAGGGUGCAAGCGUUAAUCGGAAUUACUGGGCGUAAAGCGUGCGCAGGCGGUUCGGAAAGAAAGAUGUGAAAUCCCAGAGCUCAACUUUGGAACUGAAUUUUUAACUACCGGGCUAGAGUGUGUCAGAGGGAGGUGGAAUUCCGCGUGUGGCAGUGAAAUGCGUAGAUAUGCGGAGGAACACCGAUGGCGAAGGCAGCCACCUGGGAUAACACUGACGCUCAUGCACGAAAGCGUGGGGAGCAAACAGG
This 429-nucleotide ribosomal RNA is filed under the name Acidobacteriota bacterium. Its description in RNAcentral is "Acidobacteria bacterium partial 16S ribosomal RNA". It matches the Rfam family "Bacterial small subunit ribosomal RNA", at positions 355 to 776 of the family's 1533-position model. The record is from RNAcentral. Lineage: Bacteria; Pseudomonadati; Acidobacteriota.